ACACUCUUAUAAAGAAUGUUUCGUUCUCCUCUUCAACCGACGUAAGAUUUCACAGUUGAACUGCCAUGUAACUCUCUUCUACUUCCGUGUUCAUCUUAUCCAUUAAGAAGGUGAAAAAAGACCAGAAUGCUUAGAAUGCAAGAACUUGAAAACUUGUAAACCAAAAGAACUUCAAAUGGUUAGAACCACUGGCGAACUCGGAGGGAGCCCGAUCAGGCAUAUUAUCGUCACUCAUCGAAGGACCGCCGCCAGCGCCGCCCUGAUACACUUUUCAAUGAUGGGAUUACAAAUACCCUCAAGCUCCUCCAGCUUGUCCUCGUGCUCACCGUUCAUCAACCUCCGCCAACUGGUUCCACUCAAUCAAUCAUCUCCUUCACAGAGUUCUUCACCCCUGUAUUGGAUGAUGAAAGUCCCACAUCGGCUAAUUUAGGGAAUGAUC
Non-coding RNA from Cucurbita pepo subsp. pepo (vegetable marrow), 439 nucleotides. The record is from RefSeq and is a predicted model, not a curated record. Lineage: Eukaryota; Viridiplantae; Streptophyta; Magnoliopsida; Cucurbitales; Cucurbitaceae.